RNAcentral lists this ribosomal RNA (492 nucleotides) under uncultured bacterium. RNAcentral's name for it is "partial 16S ribosomal RNA". It matches the Rfam family "Bacterial small subunit ribosomal RNA", at positions 29 to 507 of the family's 1533-position model. The record is from RNAcentral.
AGUGAACGCUGGCGGUAGGCCUAACACAUGCAAGUCGAACGGCAGCACAGUAAGAGCUUGCUCUUACGGGUGGCGAGUGGCGGACGGGUGAGGAAUACAUCGGAAUCUACUUUUUCGUGGGGGUUAACGUAGGGAAACUUACGCUAUUACCGCAUACGACCUCCGGUUGAAAGCAGGGGAUUUUCGGACCUUGCGCGUUUGAUUGAGCCGAUGUCGGAUUAGCUAGUUGGCGGGGUAAAGGCCCACCAAGGCGACGAUCCGUAGCUGGUCUGAGAGGAUGAUCAGCCACACUGGAACUGAGACACGGUCCAGACUCCUACGGGAGGCAGCAGUGGGGAAUAUUGGACAAUGGGCGCAAGCCUGAUCCAGCCAUACCGCGUGGGUGAAGAAGGCCUUCGGGUUGUAAAGCCCUUUUGUUGGGAAAGAAAAGCAGCAGGUUAAUACCCCGCUGUUCUGACGGUACCCAAAGAAUAAGCACCGGCUAACUUCGUG